This 378-nucleotide ribosomal RNA is filed under the name uncultured bacterium. RNAcentral describes it as "partial 16S ribosomal RNA". It matches the Rfam family "Bacterial small subunit ribosomal RNA", at positions 338 to 733 of the family's 1533-position model. The record is from RNAcentral.
CCUACGGGAGGCUGCAGUGGGGAAUAUUGCACAAUGGGGGAAACCCUGAUGCAGCGACGCCGCGUGAGUGAAGAAGUAUCUCGGUACGUAAAGCUCUAUCAGCAGGGAAGAAAAUGAUGGUACCUGACUAAGAAGCCCCGGCCAACUACGUGCCAGCAGCCGCGGUAAUACGGAGGGGGCAAGCGUUAUCCGGAUUUACUGGGGGUAAAGGGAGUGUAGAGGGCAGCACAAGUCUGGAGUGAAAUCCCGGGGCUUAACCCCGGAACUGCUUUGGAAACUGGGCGGCUGGAGUGCAGGAGGGGUAAGCGGAAGUCCCAGUGUAGCGGUGAAAUGCGUAGAUAUUAGGAGGAACACCGGUGGCGAAGGCGGCUUACUGGA